RNAcentral lists this ribosomal RNA (619 nucleotides) under Rhizobium sp. RNAcentral's name for it is "bacterial SSU rRNA". It matches the Rfam family "Bacterial small subunit ribosomal RNA", at positions 119 to 770 of the family's 1533-position model. The record is from RNAcentral. Lineage: Bacteria; Pseudomonadati; Pseudomonadota; Alphaproteobacteria; Hyphomicrobiales; Rhizobiaceae.
GGGGGACAUACCCUUUCCUGCGGAAUAGCUCCGGGAAACUGGAAUUAAUACCGCAUACGCCCUACGGGGGAAAGAUUUAUCGGGGAAGGAUUGGCCCGCGUUGGAUUAGCUAGUUGGUGGGGUAAAGGCCUACCAAGGCGACGAUCCAUAGCUGGUCUGAGAGGAUGAUCAGCCACAUUGGGACUGAGACACGGCCCAAACUCCUACGGGAGGCAGCAGUGGGGAAUAUUGGACAAUGGGCGCAAGCCUGAUCCAGCCAUGCCGCGUGAGUGAUGAAGGCCUUAGGGUUGUAAAGCUCUUUCACCGAUGAAGAUAAUGACGGUAGUCGGAGAAGAAGCCCCGGCUAACUUCGUGCCAGCAGCCGCGGUAAUACGAAGGGGGCUAGCGUUGUUCGGAAUUACUGGGCGUAAAGCGCACGUAGGCGGAUAUUUAAGUCAGGGGGGAGGUCCCGCACCUCAACUGCGGAACUGCCUUUGAUACUGGGUAUCUUGAGUAUGGAAGAGGUAAGUGGAAUUCCGAGUGUAGAGGGGAAAUUCGUAGAUAUUCGGAGGAACACCAGUGGCGAAGGGCGGCUUACUGGUCCAUUACUGACGCUGAGGUGCGAAAGCGUGGGGGAGCA